GUGGGGAAUAUUGGGCAAUGGGCGAAAGCCUGACCCAGCAACGCCGCGUGAAGGAAGAAGGUUUUCGGAUUGUAAACUUCUGUCCUCAGGGAAGAAGGACGUGACGGUACCUGAGGAGGAAGCCCCGGCUAACUACGUGCCAGCAGCCGCGGUAAUACGUAGGGGGCGAGCGUUGUCCGGAAUGACUGGGCGUAAAGGGCGCGUAGACGGCUGUCUAAGUCUGGAGUGAAAGUCCUGUUUUCAAGGUGGGAAUUGCUUUGGAGACUGGAUGGCUUGAGUGCGGAAGAGGUAAGUGGAAUUCCCAGUGUAGCGGUGAAAUGCGUAGAGAUUGGGAGGAACACCAGUGGCGAAGGCGACUUACUGGGCCGUAACUGACGUUGAAGCGCGAAAGCGUGGGGAGCGAACAGGAUUAGAAACCCGUGUAGUCC
Molecule: ribosomal RNA, 428 nt
Filed under: uncultured bacterium
Lineage: Bacteria
Description: partial 16S ribosomal RNA
Rfam family: Bacterial small subunit ribosomal RNA
Source: RNAcentral